RNAcentral lists this ribosomal RNA (254 nucleotides) under uncultured Eubacteriales bacterium. RNAcentral describes it as "uncultured Clostridiales bacterium partial 16S ribosomal RNA". It matches the Rfam family "Bacterial small subunit ribosomal RNA", at positions 524 to 776 of the family's 1533-position model. The record is from RNAcentral. Lineage: Bacteria; Bacillati; Bacillota; Clostridia; Eubacteriales.
UACGUAGGGGGCAAGCGUUGUUCGGAAUGACUGGGCGUAAAGGGUGUGUAGGUGGUUUGAUAAGUUAGAUGUGUAAUACCCAGGGCUUAACUCGGGUGCUGCAUCUAAAACUGUUAGACUUGAGUACUGGAGAGGAUAGUGGAAUUCCUAGUGUAGCGGUGGAAUGCGUAGAUAUAUGGAAGAACACCAGUGGCGAAGGCGGCUCUCUGGUCUGCAACUGACGCUGAGGCUCGAAAGCAUGGGUAGCGAACAGG